AGAACGUCCUACGGGAGGCAGCAGUGGGGAAUAUUGCACAAUGGGGGAAACCCUGAUGCAGCGACGCCGCGUGAGUGAUGAAGUAUUUCGGUAUGUAAAGCUCUAUCAGCAGGGAAGAUAAUGACGGUACCUGACUAAGAAGCACCGGCUAAAUACGUGC
This 160-nucleotide ribosomal RNA is filed under the name uncultured bacterium. Its description in RNAcentral is "partial 16S ribosomal RNA". It matches the Rfam family "Bacterial small subunit ribosomal RNA", at positions 332 to 508 of the family's 1533-position model. The record is from RNAcentral.